Molecule: long non-coding RNA, 2548 nt
Organism: Gallus gallus (chicken)
Lineage: Eukaryota; Metazoa; Chordata; Aves; Galliformes; Phasianidae
Source: Ensembl
GGACAAACUGGAUUGCAUUGUGGAUUGCACAAUGGAUUGCACUGUGCUCUUGGAGCCUCCAGCAGAGAGGGGCUGUGAGAAUAAGUGCAAGGAAGGCUAUGGGUGCAUGAAGGGUCAACAGUGGGAACGCCAACAUUUAGUGGGAUAAACUAAGGGAGGAACAGAAGUCAGUAAAAGGACAGGAUAGCACAAAGUAGAAUAGAUUAAUGCAGAAGAACAAUUUCUAUAAGCAAAAAAGCCCACACCUUGACACAGAAGGGAUUACUUUUUAAUAUCAUCCUCGUUGCUUUUCUGGUAUUCUUGAUUUCUCCAGCUUCGAUCUGGGACGUGCAGGAGGUGGCUGCUGCCAUCACAGGAGUUCCUCCCCCAGACAACCCACACCGUAAACGUUAUUGCCCUAUAAAGAGCACUCCGCAGCUUGUCAGGGAUCCCCAAAGCCGGCAUUAGGAAAUCAGCAGCAGGCACCAUCCCCAUCCCCCAGCCUGCUCCGCCAUUCACUUCCAAUUAUGCUAAAUCAGGACUCUGAAUUUUGGGUGAGAGCCAAACUGCCAAUCCCAUAAUCAGUUAUGAACAACGUGGGCAACAUCUAUCUAAUCUGUAAAUGACCGGCUAGUCUGAGAGGCUCCUGUAACGAGGCUGGAACAGCCUCUGCCUGGGUAAUUAUUCACGUCUGGAAAGGGGGAAGAAAUCCCCUCUGGGAAGUGCUGGUUUAUAGGGCAUCACAACCUGGUGCAGCACAUUUCCUCAAGGGUAGGAAAAACUGUAGGAAAACGAGGGGAAAAAAAGGAGAUUUCAGGAUUGGAGUUGGGGUUUUGGUUGCUUUCAGGGACAAGAACUGUGACCACAGGGCUUGUGGGCAUCAUCAGGUGUGAGAUGAUCGCAGCAAUGCAGGUGCAGCAGCGGAGGGGUGAUGUUCCUUCUCCAGCCCCACGUGGGAGCAGCGUCUGGGGAAAACCAAAGCAAUGCCACUGCUUUGCUGGGUCUGAGCAUCCCUUGCACAGGUCCAAAGGCUCAGAAGAGAGGGAGUAAGCUUUAUGGGAACAGCUCACUUUUCCCUGCUAUCGGGGUGCUCUCUGGCACUGCACGCUCCCUGCAUGGGCACGCAGGAGGAACUUCCAGCCUUCAUCGCUCACCCUUCAGCACAGAGCUGAGCCUCCAUCUGCUCUGACGCCUUUCCCAUCUCCUGCAGCCCUCAGCAGCACAGCAAAGGGCCUUUUAGCCUUGAGGAUGGGGAUGAAUGGAAGAGGAAGCUCUAACCGCACAGACGAGGUGGGUCUCUAUCACACUUGGCCCUUGGGAGUGACAUCACUGGAACGAUGGAGGGAGCAUACCAAGUGGCUUUGCUUCUUGCCUUGGAAUCCAAGAACCUUCCUCAGUACACCAUCAAGCACUUCAAGGGUCUCUGGAGGAAAUCACAUGGCCCAGGAGGGAGCUUUGACUCUAUGCAGCCUAUUCUGUACCCACGUUCACAAGUGCAACAAUUUCUGAGAAGUUCCCAGCAUGCAUAAGUUGCAUCCAGAUCAGCUUCUCAACCUGCCAUCCCACGCGGAAAGAGGAUUUUGCUGUGUCACCAAAUCUGAGGACAUCUGCGUGACAGAAAGAGGUGGGUAGAACAGCUCAAAAGUGGGACCUGAUGGGCCAUCUCACCAUAGCUGCUCAAUGCUGGGAGGAAUGAGGAUCCCUCUGACAUGCACCCUACAGUGUGCACACUGCAGCCACAUCCUUGAUCCUUUGGAUAAGGGCACAGAAGAAAGGGAGAGACAAGGGGAUGUCUAAAUGGGAAAGACUUACAGGCCUGAAUGCCAGAGUCCCUUCGUGUCACCUUCUGCAGGAGCUUCCAUCUGCUGCAACUGUGGCAUGGAUUAACUGAGGCAACAGAGAUUGAUUCAACAAGAUCCAGCAACCUAGGCUUGCAAAAUACCACUAAUUAAAAUUGGCUUUGUGCCUUCUCCUGGCUCAAAGGCCCACAGCACUUGUAAGACUGAAGGUUGGCAGGGCCCAUGACCAGAGAAAUCGCUGGUACUUUCAAAGAUGCUGUUGGGAGGUUGAACAGAUAUAGAAAGAGUUAAAUCUACAUUGGAGCAUGGUGGCAUGCACAUUUCUUGAGUGCUCUUCAAGACCUAUUUUUUUUUUAAAAACUAAUUCCACCUAAUCAUUUCUAUGCCAGCUCUACAGGAUGGUCCUGCUUCCACCUCCCACAAGGCUGCUCCCCUUUUUCCACAUUACCAGGUGAGCCAGGUUAAUCAGGCCUGGAAAUACACCUCACACUUGUUUGGAACUUUAUUCCUCUAAAACAAAAGUAAAACAUUUUGGCCUAGAAACUUCAAGUGUGAUUUAGUACCUUGCCUGUAGCAGAGACUGUUGCCCCUGGAGAGACUGGGGCAUCUUCCAUUAUUAGCGACAGGAUCCGCACAUGCAAUGAAGCCCGCGUGGCAGAUGUGUGCAUCAGAAAGCACAGCUCAGGGCCUGACUCUGUAAUUGGUAUAAUUAUGCUGGGGCCCUGAGUAAUGUUUCAAGCAACGUUGGUCUUCUCAUGUUGAGUACACUG